RNA transcript from Musa acuminata subsp. malaccensis (wild Malaysian banana), 1609 nucleotides. It is a transcript of the gene named glucan endo-1,3-beta-glucosidase 14, with no coding region annotated. Lineage: Eukaryota; Viridiplantae; Streptophyta; Magnoliopsida; Zingiberales; Musaceae. The record is from RefSeq and is a predicted model, not a curated record.
CGGGAGCCGAACCCGGAAUAGAGGAAGGGCAACCGCAGUGGCUGCCUCUACUGUCGGGCGGAGAGAAUGGCCGUGGCUGUCUUCUCUCGCUUCGGUUGCUGCCUUGCGCUCGGCGUGCUCUUCUCAGGGCAAAUUCUCCAGACCCUUGGCGUCGGCGUUGGAAUCAACUAUGGGCAGAUAGCCAACAACCUACCAUCUCCCACCAGUGUUGUUAAGCUUCUCCAGUCCAUCAACAUCAGCAGAGUAAAACUCUACGAUGCUGACCCUAAAGUGUUAACUGCCUUCGGCAACUCCAGCGUCGACUUUAUCAUUGCAAUCGGCAACGAGAACAUCCUGAACAUGACCGACCCGACGAAAGCCCAGGAAUGGCUUAAACAGAAUGUCCAGCCUUACCUUCACCAAACUCAAAUAACUUGCGUGACCGUCGGAAAUGAGGUUCUGACCACCGGUGACACUGUGUUGAUGGAAAACCUUCUCCCAGCGAUGCAGUCUGUAUAUCAAGCUCUUGUUGCCCUCGGAUUGGACAAGCAAGUGAACAUUUCGUCAGCACAUUCCGUUGCCAUCUUAGGGAAUUCAUAUCCUCCUUCCUCUGGUUCAUUUCGUGAAGAUCUUGCGGAGUACAUACAUCCGCUGGUCAACUUCCAUUCUGAAAUCAACUCUCCCUUCCUCAUCAAUGCCUACCCUUUCUUUGCUUACAAAGGGAACCCCGACAGUAUUUCCCUGGAGUAUGUACUAUUUCAGGACAACCCAGGAGUCACUGAUCCAAACACGAAUUUAACCUAUGAUAAUAUGCUGUAUGCUCAGAUCGAUUCGGUCUAUGCUGCAAUCAAAGCAAUGGGUCAUACAGACAUUGAUGUUGCAAUAUCUGAAACUGGAUGGCCUUCCAAAGGAGACCCCGAUGAGACUGGGGCAACACUGGAGAAUGCUGCAAAGUACAAUAGGAAUCUGCUGAAGAGAAUUGCAAUGAACCAAGGCACGCCGAUGAAGCCUACGGUGCCCAUUAACGUACAUGUUUUUGCUCUGUUUAAUGAAGAUUUAAAACCAGGUGCAACGUCAGAGAGGAACUAUGGGCUCUUUUAUCCUGAUGGAACUCCUGUUUAUGAUAUCGGCUUUCAAGAUCACGUCCUGCUAUCUUCGCCAUCUUCUGCAACACUGAUGGCAUGGUCUCGGUUCGGCAUCCUUAUCUCCGCAAUGGUCAUGAUGAUAUAAGUUGUUCUCUUCCUUACAAUAGUCGGUAGUUGGGAGCAUUGAUUGAUCAUAAAUUUAUCCUGACCUGGAGAUAUCAGACAUUGAUACGGCUUCUGGCUGUUCAUGGGUGCGUAUUAUGGACGAUCUCCCGGUGCUUAUGCUUUGUUUUCGAAUAGAUUACUUAUAGAGAGAGAGUGUGUGUGUGUGUGUGUGUGUGUUAGAUAGAUGAGCUUAAUUGAGAGAGAGUAUUACUUAUAUAUAGUAUCUGAUUCAUUAUUGUAUAGACAAUUUGGUGGGAGUUAUAGUGUUCCAAAGUCAGUCACUACCUUUUCUUUUGGUGUCUCUGCUGCUUAAUGUGUAAACGUGGACGCUGGAUUUUUCGGACCUUCAUCUAAUUGGAUCUGUUUCCGAGUUGAGACAA